AGUGAACGCUGGCGGUAGGCCUAACACAUGCAAGUCGAACGGCAGCACAGUAAGAGCUUGCUCUUACGGGUGGCGAGUGGCGGACGGGUGAGGAAUACAUCGGAAUCUACUUUUUCGUGGGGGAUAACGUAGGGAAACUUACGCUAAUACCGCAUACGACCUACGGGUGAAAGCAGGGGAUCUUCGGACCUUGCGCGAUUGGAUGAGCCGAUGUCGGAUUAGCUAGUUGGCGGGGUAAAGGCCCACUAAGUCGACGAUCCGUAGCUGGUCUGAGAGGAUGAUCAGCCACACUGGAACUGAGACACGGUCCAGACUCCUACGGGAGGCAGCAGUGGGGAAUAUUGGACAAUGGGCGCAAGCCUGAUCCAGCCAUACCGCGUGGGUGAAGAAGGCCUUCGGGUUGUAAAGCCCUUUUGUUGGGAAAGAAAAGCAGCAGGUUAAUACCCCGCUGUUCUGACGGUAACCAAAGAAUAAGCACCGGCUAACUUCGUG
This 492-nucleotide ribosomal RNA is filed under the name uncultured bacterium. Its description in RNAcentral is "partial 16S ribosomal RNA". It matches the Rfam family "Bacterial small subunit ribosomal RNA", at positions 29 to 507 of the family's 1533-position model. The record is from RNAcentral.